Molecule: ribosomal RNA, 329 nt
Filed under: uncultured eukaryote
Lineage: Eukaryota
Description: partial 18S ribosomal RNA
Rfam family: Eukaryotic small subunit ribosomal RNA
Source: RNAcentral
CCCUUAGAUGUUCUGGGCCGCACGCGCGCUACACUGAUGCAUUCAACGAGUCUAAAACCUGCUCUGAUAGGGGUGGGUAAUCUUUUGAAUGUGCAUCGUGAUUGGGAUAGAUGAUUGCAAUUUUUCAUCUUCAACGAGGAAUGCCUAGUAAACGCAAGUCAUCAGCUUGCAUUGAUUACGUCCCUGCCCUUUGUACACACCGCCCGUCGCUCCUACCGAUUGAAUGAUCCGAUGAAUAUCAUGGAUUGAGGAUGCAAGUAGGUUCGCCUAUCUUCAUCUUCGAGAAGUGAAGUAAAUCUUAUCAUUUAGAGGAAGGAGAAGUCGGAACA